Molecule: ribosomal RNA, 253 nt
Filed under: uncultured bacterium
Lineage: Bacteria
Description: partial 16S ribosomal RNA
Rfam family: Bacterial small subunit ribosomal RNA
Source: RNAcentral
GACAGAGGGUGCAAACGUUGUUCGGAAUUACUGGGCGUAAAGCGCGUGUAGGCGGCUAAGUAAGUCGGGCGUGAAAUCCCACGGCUCAACCGUGGAAGUGCACUCGAAACUGCAUAGCUAGAGUCCUGGAGAGGAAGGUGGAAUGCUUGGUGUAGAGGUGAAAUUCGUAGAUAUCAAGCGGAACACCGGUGGCGAAGGCGGGUCUCUGGGCAACAACUGACGCUGAGGAGCGAAAGCGUGGGGAGCGAACAGG